UACAGAGGUCUCGAGCGUUAGGCGGAAUCACUGGGCUUAAAGCGUGUGUAGGCGGAUCGUUAAGUCUGAUGUGAAAGCCCUGGGCUCAACCUGGGAAUGGCAUUGGAAACUGGCGACCUAGAGUGCGGUAGAGGGUAGUGGAAUUCCCGGUGUAGCAGUGAAAUGCGUAGAGAUCGGGAGGAACAUCUGUGGCGAAGGCGACUGCCUGGACCAGCACUGACACUGAGGCACGAAAGCGUGGGGAGCAAACAGG
This 253-nucleotide ribosomal RNA is filed under the name uncultured bacterium. Its description in RNAcentral is "partial 16S ribosomal RNA". It matches the Rfam family "Bacterial small subunit ribosomal RNA", at positions 524 to 776 of the family's 1533-position model. The record is from RNAcentral.